RNAcentral lists this ribosomal RNA (374 nucleotides) under uncultured organism. RNAcentral's name for it is "bacterial SSU rRNA". It matches the Rfam family "Bacterial small subunit ribosomal RNA", at positions 526 to 896 of the family's 1533-position model. The record is from RNAcentral.
CGGGGGGAGCAAGCGUUGUUCGGAUUUACUGGGCGUAAAGGGCGCGUAGGCGGUCAGCACAAGUCAGUUGUGAAAUCUCCGGGCUUAACUCGGAACGGUCAACUGAUACUGUGCGACUAGAGUGCAGAAGGGGCAACUGGAAUUCUCGGUGUAGCGGUGAAAUGCGUAGAUAUCGAGAGGAACACCUGCGGCGAAGGCGGGUUGCUGGGCUGACACUGACGCUGAGGCGCGAAAGCCAGGGGAGCGAACGGGAUUAGAUACCCCGGUAGUCCUGGCCUUAAACGAUGGAUGCUUGGUGUCUGGAGUUAUAUAGUCUCCGGGUGCCGCAGCUAACGCGUUAAGCAUCCCGCCUGGGGAGUACGGUCGCAAGACUG